AUGAGGCACGGGUUGUGGAGUUCGGGACUCCCCUUCCCCCUAAUUCAGCUCCCAGCUGAGCAGAUUUGGAGUCUUCCAGGAUUGCAGAUAGGUGUGGAGACUGAACUGCAGACUUCAGAGGGACAAGAUAACUUGGCACCUGAGACUUGGCAGCUCUGGAGGACAAGUUUAAAGCACGAGAAGUCCCCAUUCUCGAGUUGGCUCCCCCCACUCUGGGACCACAGUGGGUCCCACCGUCCUGCCUCACUUUGGAAACCGGAGGCUACCAUCGUGGAGUCUGUCACCCUGACCAGGGUCUCCUCAGCUCCCCUCAGAGAGACAGGGAGGGAGAGAGGGAGAAGAGGGAGAGGAGAGCAGGGGAGGGGAGGGGAGGGAGGACAGGACUGAGUAAAACUGGGAAGGUGGCCCCAGGUGUUACUCUCUGAGCUUGGUGAAGACAGUGACUUCAGUGAACUUGAAGCCAGUAGUGAAACACAAGCAAAAGCAAACUGAUGGCUGAACGAAGCUAGCAGAGACCAUCUAUGAGUGUAUAGACAGAUGAGGUACAAAGUGAGCAUUUUUUCCUUCUCACCGUGAGGCUGGAGUGGCUACGGAAAAGGCUGAGGAAGACGGGAGGGCUGGCUCAGCUGUGAGCUGCGUUCUGGGCUAGAUCUGAGGCAUCAGGCAGCUGAGGAAGCAGCUGGGUAGACAGGGAGGGUCAGCCCGCCUGGGGCCACGGUCUGGGACUGGCUCCUCCUCCUCCUGAGUUCAUCUUCAGCCCAAGACCGGGAUGCCCUGAUCGAAAUGCAGUGAGCUAAGCAGGCGACUUAGCUGCACACAGUGAGCCCUUAGCAUGUGCCUGUUCGUCCUCUGCAACCCUUGGCUGACCCCACUCCUAAUCUCUGCGCCACCCACUGCAGAUCUGACCCUCGUGGGCUUUGGAUGCCACGACAGUUCCUCCAGGAGCAGAAAGAGUUCAAAAACUGCUGCCCGACGAGGGGCCGAGGCAGAUUGCUCAGAGGCCGGAGUCCUACCUCAGACCGGACCCUCAAUUCCAGCCCAAAUUAAAAUCCUCUCCACCAAACUCCCUGGGGGCCAUGAGCACAUCUCACUGCCUCCCUCCCACCCAGUGCAGUGGACCUUGUCCUUUCUCUUUCAGAUAAAUCAUUGGUCCUGCUGAUGCUCGGGGGUGCUCUGCUCAGUUCUUUGUGUAGGGCAUCAAAAACCUGGACAGGCCCCCAACCCGGUGGUGAUAGGAGAGGCUUUCUUUUAAUGAAAGCAUUCCAAGUAAUAAACCAGAACGGCAAAAUUGGGGCAUCACCAUUUCACAGCUCCCGGCGGGCUGAUGAGUCAGGGGACGUGGGGAGAACAGUCAUUCCCCAGGGUCCUGGCAGCACUGGGCCUGGGCACAGUGGAGCCCUGGACCCAGCUCUCACCUUGUGGGAACCCCACUGACCAGCAGCGCCCAGGCUGUCCGCAGCUUGGACCCGAGGCUUCACCAGACCCACAGUAAGCAAAGGAAGAAGAAAAAAAAUGGAGUGGAAGCUGCCUGUGGCGGGAGACUGAAAAGACGGACCAAAUAGAAGGGUACGCAGGGCCCAAGUAUGAUGUGUGGGAGUCAACACUGAGAUUUAAUUUGCCUGAGACUGCAAGGCAGCACCAGGAAGAGGGGACUGUGGGGCACAGCUGUGCUCACUAGGGGGCUGGGGAGGACCGGGAUUGUGGUGGGGACCAUUGCAAACUCCCGUCUCCUGACUCCAGAGGUGGUUACAAAACUGCGUGCCUUAUCUUCCUUCACUGAGUUUAAAACAGCCCCCGCCCUGUGUCUGACGGUUUCCCAGUGUGGCUUAAAUAACAGAGCUAGACACUGCCCAUGGUCUCAGGCUGGGUCCUUCACAGCCGAUCCCAGCUUCGUCUGGCUGCUGUCUCCUGUCCACGCAGCACCCACUGCUUUUCCGGCCGCUCUUCCCCACUUCAGAGACUUGGCAGAGACGAGACAUUUUAGCCUUGCACUUUGCAGUCAAAGAGUAGAGUCGUCUUACUGGCUUGUUUCCAGAGAGCACCACUGCCUCUCCCUCUUCUCUGGUCUCCUCUCUCCCAGAGGCGGCUGGUCUCGUUCCCUUGAGCUGGUCCUGUAGCAUUUACCUCUCCUCUUAGGCUGGGAUCCCCCACGCGGGCCCUGGAUGAGGACGUGGGCACUGCAGCUUACCUGGGAGGGAAGAAGUGGGGACCACAGCCUCAGCCGCUUGUUGGAAGCGACGAGUCACAGGUAGCAGGAACCGAGUGGGUGGCGCUCCUUGGGAGGACGCUGGUUUGGAACGCGCGGCACUGGGCCCCACAGACCGGACUGGCCUGGAGCUCCUCCUGUUGAACACCGCACAGUCUCGGGGCAACUCAGCCCGAGCUAGGAUAAGGCCCCUGCCUUACUCCCUGGAUCCAGGGAACCAGUCCUGUUGUGUACCCCGCUUGUCCCCGCCUUGGCCACCCCCGGACACCUGCUGUGUCUCACCAGCCGAGCUCCUCUCUCCACUCUGUCCCAGGAAGGUCAACUGAGCACAAUGGCUGCACCCAGUGGGCAAGCAUGGCCAGGAGGGGAGAGAGCAGACAGAGCUUUAGAGCUUCGGCGAGCAGGGAGGGCACUGGGGGUAAUUCCCAAAGCAGUGUCUCUCCAAGCAAACCGAACCGGGGCUUUUACGGCGGUAACUCAUUCAUAUAGGAAAGACCGGAGAGGUGGCCCAGCCCUGAGCGGGAUCGGUUCAGAAAAAUGGUGAUGUGUCACUGAGAUGUGGCCUGGGUCUGUCUGCCUCCCCGGCUCCUCCUUCGCUCUCUC
RNAcentral lists this long non-coding RNA (2809 nucleotides) under Fukomys damarensis (Damara mole-rat). RNAcentral's name for it is "lncRNA (ENSFDAG00000032990.1)". Lineage: Eukaryota; Metazoa; Chordata; Mammalia; Rodentia; Bathyergidae. The record is from RNAcentral.